CAUGUAGGCGGAUUAAUAAGUUUUAAGUGAAAUCCUAUAGCUUAACUAUAGAACUGCUUUGAAAACUGUUAAUCUAGAAUGUGGGAGAGGUAGAUGGAAUUUCUGGUGUAGGGGUAAAAUCCGUAGAGAUCAGAAGGAAUACCGAUUGCGAAGGCGAUCUACUGGAACAUUAUUGACGCUGAGAUGCGAAAGCGUGGGGAGCAAACA
Molecule: ribosomal RNA, 207 nt
Filed under: uncultured bacterium
Lineage: Bacteria
Description: partial 16S ribosomal RNA
Rfam family: Bacterial small subunit ribosomal RNA
Source: RNAcentral